GAUGCUUGCAUCUGAACUUAGUGGCGGACGGGUGAGUAACACGUGAGCAACCUGCCUUUCAGAGGGGGAUAACGUUUGGAAACGAACGCUAAUACCGCAUAAAAUAUCGGAGUCGCAUGGCACUGAUAUCAAAGGAGCAAUCCGCUGAAAGAUGGGCUCGCGUCCGAUUAGGCAGUUGGCGGGGUAACGGCCCACCAAACCGACAAUCGGUAGCCGGACUGAGAGGUUGAACGGCCACAUUGGGACUGAGACACGGCCCAGACUCCUACGGGAGGCAGCAGUGGGGGGUAUUGCACAAUGGGGGAAACCCUGAUGCAGCGAUGCCGCGUGAAUGAAGACGGCCUUCGGGUUGUAAAGUUCUGUCGCAGGGGACGAAAAUGACGGUACCCUGCAAGAAAGCUCCGGCUAACUACGUGCCAGCAGCCGCGGUAAUACGUAGGGAGCAAGCGUUGUCCGGAAUUACUGGGUGUAAAGGGAGCGUAGGCGGGAGGAUAAGUUGAAUGUGAAAUCUAUGGGCUCAACCCAUAGCUGCGUUCAAAACUGUUCUUCUUGAGUGAAGUAGAGGCAGGCGGAAUUCCUAGUGUAGCGGUGAAAUGCGUAGAUAUUAGGAGGAACACCAGUGGCGAAGGCGGCCUGCUGGGCUUUUACUGACGCUGAGGCUCGAAAGCGUGGGUAGCAAACAGGAUUAGAUACCCUGGUAGUCCACGCGGUAAACGAUGAUUACUAGGUGUGGGUGGACUGACCCCAUCCGUGCCGGAGUUAACACAAUAAGUAAU
RNAcentral lists this ribosomal RNA (776 nucleotides) under uncultured bacterium. RNAcentral's name for it is "bacterial SSU rRNA". It matches the Rfam family "Bacterial small subunit ribosomal RNA", at positions 75 to 868 of the family's 1533-position model. The record is from RNAcentral.